AGUCUUAUAGUUUAAUAAAAAUAUAAUAUUGAAAAUAUUAAGAUAUUAGUUUGAGAUUA
Molecule: transfer RNA, 59 nt
Filed under: Ornithodoros moubata
Lineage: Eukaryota; Metazoa; Arthropoda; Arachnida; Ixodida; Argasidae
Description: tRNA-Phe
Source: RNAcentral